GGGAGGGGGGGGUGCUAUAAUGCAGUCGAGCGGACCGACGGGAGCUUGCUCCCUUAGGUCAGCGGCGGACGGGUGAGUAACACGUGGGUAACCUGCCUGUAAGACUGGGAUAACUCCGGGAAACCGGGGCUAAUACCGGAUGCUUGAUUGAACCGCAUGGUUCAAUCAUAAAAGGUGGCUUUUAGCUACCACUUACAGAUGGACCCGCGGCGCAUUAGCUAGUUGGUGAGGUAACGGCUCACCAAGGCGACGAUGCGUAGCCGACCUGAGAGGGUGAUCGGCCACACUGGGACUGAGACACGGCCCAGACUCCUACGGGAGGCAGCAGUAGGGAAUCUUCCGCAAUGGACGAAAGUCUGACGGAGCAACGCCGCGUGAGUGAUGAAGGUUUUCGGAUCGUAAAACUCUGUUGUUAGGGAAGAACAAGUACCGUUCGAAUAGGGCGGCACCUUGACGGUACCUAACCAGAAAGCCACGGCUAACUACGUGCCAGCAGCCGCGGUAAUACGUAGGUGGCAAGCGUUGUCCGGAAUUAUUGGGCGUAAAGCGCGCGCAGGCGGUUUCUUAAGUCUGAUGUGAAAGCCCCCGGCUCAACCGGGGAGGGUCAUUGGAAACUGGGGAACUUGAGUGCAGAAGAGGAGAGUGGAAUUCCACGUGUAGCGGUGAAAUGCGUAGAGAUGUGGAGGAACACCAGUGGCGAAGGCGACUCUCUGGUCUGUAACUGACGCUGAGGCGCGAAAGCGUGGGGAGCGAACAGGAUUAGAUACCCUGGUAGUCCACGCCGUAAACGAUGAGUGCUAAGUGUUAGAGGGUUUCCGCCCUUUAGUGCUGCAGCAAACGCAUUAAGCACUCCGCCUGGGGAGUACGGUCGCAAGACUGAAACUCAAAGGAAUUGACGGGGCCCGCACAAGCGGUGGAGCAUGUGUUUAAUUCGAAGCAACGCGAAGAACCUUACCAGGUCUUGACAUCCUCUGACAACCCUAGAG
Molecule: ribosomal RNA, 986 nt
Filed under: Bacillus licheniformis
Lineage: Bacteria; Bacillati; Bacillota; Bacilli; Caryophanales; Bacillaceae
Description: bacterial SSU rRNA
Rfam family: Bacterial small subunit ribosomal RNA
Source: RNAcentral